AGGACGAACGCUGGCGGCGCGCCUAACACAUGCAAGUCGAACGGAGCUUAGAGAGCUUGCUUUUUAAGCUUAGUGGCGAACGGGUGAGUAACGCGUGAGUAACCUGCCCUAGAGUGGGGGACAACAUUUGGAAACAGAUGCUAAUACCGCAUAAGAUUACAGUACCGCAUGAUACAGUGAUCAAAGGAGCAAUCCGCUGAAAGAUGGGCUCGCGUCCGAUUAGAUAGUUGGUGAGGUAACGGCUCACCAAGUCGACGAUCGGUAGCCGGACUGAGAGGUUGAACGGCCACAUUGGGACUGAGACACGGCCCAGACUCCUACGGGAGGCAGCAGUGGGGAAUAUUGCACAAUGGGCGAAAGCCUGAUGCAGCAACGCCGCGUGAGGGAAGACGGUUUUCGGAUUGUAAACCUCUGUUUUCGGUGACGAACAAAUGACGGUAACCGAGUAGGAAGCCACGGCUAACUACGUG
RNAcentral lists this ribosomal RNA (470 nucleotides) under uncultured bacterium. Its description in RNAcentral is "bacterial SSU rRNA". It matches the Rfam family "Bacterial small subunit ribosomal RNA", at positions 26 to 507 of the family's 1533-position model. The record is from RNAcentral.